UUAGUCUUUUAAUUGGAGACUGGAAUGAAAGAGUAAACCAGGAGAAUUUUUUUAAAAUAAAACAAACGAAUUUUACUUUUUAGUAAGAAGGCUAAAAUAAAUCUUUUAGACAAGAAGACCCUAUAAAACUUUAUAUUUAAUUCUCUUAUUUUGAAGAAUUAAAUAUUUCACUGGGGCGGUGAGAAAAUUAGACUUUUCUCGAAAAAAAAAAGAACAAACAAGUUUAAAUAUCUAGAAAUUCUGAAAAGGAAAUAAGUUACUUUAGGGAUAACAGCUUGAUUUAUUUUGAAAGUUCUAAUUGACAAAUAAGUUUAUGACCUCGAUGUUGAAUUAAAAUUCCCCUUUUGUGCAAAA
This 354-nucleotide ribosomal RNA is filed under the name Gint banfasae. Its description in RNAcentral is "partial large subunit ribosomal RNA". The record is from RNAcentral. Lineage: Eukaryota; Metazoa; Arthropoda; Arachnida; Scorpiones; Buthidae.